AGCGAACGCUGGCGGCAGGCCUAACACAUGCAAGUCGAACGGAUCCUUCGGGAUUAGUGGCGGACGGGUGAGUAACACGUGGGAACGUGCCCUUUGGUUCGGAACAACUCAGGGAAACUUGAGCUAAUACCGGAUGUGCCCUUCGGGGGAAAGAUUUAUCGCCAUUGGAGCGGCCCGCGUCUGAUUAGCUAGUUGGUGGGGUAAAGGCCCACCAAGGCGACGAUCAGUAGCUGGUCUGAGAGGAUGAUCUGCCACAUUGGGACUGAGACACGGCCCAAACUCCUACGGGAGGCAGCAGUGGGGAAUCUUGCGCAAUGGGCGAAAGCCUGACGCAGCCAUGCCGCGUGAAUGAUGAAGGUCUUAGGAUUGUAAAAUUCUUUCACCGGGGACGAUAAUGACGGUACCCGGAGAAGAAGCCCCGGCUAACUUCGUGCCAGCCGCCGCGGUAA
This 449-nucleotide ribosomal RNA is filed under the name uncultured bacterium. RNAcentral's name for it is "partial 16S ribosomal RNA". It matches the Rfam family "Bacterial small subunit ribosomal RNA", at positions 29 to 523 of the family's 1533-position model. The record is from RNAcentral.